RNAcentral lists this ribosomal RNA (253 nucleotides) under uncultured bacterium. RNAcentral describes it as "partial 16S ribosomal RNA". It matches the Rfam family "Bacterial small subunit ribosomal RNA", at positions 524 to 776 of the family's 1533-position model. The record is from RNAcentral.
UACGAAGGGGGCUAGCGUUGCUCGGAAUUACUGGGCGUAAAGCGCACGUAGGCGGAUUGUUAAGUCGGGGGUGAAAUCCUGGAGCUCAACUCCAGAACUGCCUUCGAUACUGGCGAUCUCGAGUUCGGGAGAGGUGAGUGGAACUGCGAGUGUAGAGGUGAAAUUCGUAGAUAUUCGGAAGAACACCAGUGGCGAAGGCGGCUCACUGGUCCGGUACUGACGCUGAGGUGCGAAAGCGUGGGGAGCAAACAGG